UCCGGUUUGUAAAAAAAUAAAUAAAAAUACAAACGUUAUAUCGAAAUAUACAGAAAGUCAUAAAAUCAGAAUAAAAUGUACAAAAUAUUAAAAAUCAAAAUCAGUCAAAUACAACCAAUCACAGUUCCAGGUCUUAACUUAUGAGCGAUCCACAAAUGCAACUUUGAAUAGAUGCGUCUUCAGUCCUUUCUUAAAUAGUUCUAGCGAUUGUUCAUUUCGAAGAUUUGUUGGAAGGCUAUUCCACAGAGUUCCGGCCGCCACAUCGAACCUCCGUUCACCAUACAUUUUGGUCCGUGCAUUUUUUGGCAUCUCAAUUAAAGAAGCAUUUUCAGAUCGAAACGAUCGUGCUGGUUUGUAAAAAUGUAUUAGUUCACUAAGAUACGCGAAGGUGCAAGUCCAUGCAAGGCUUUGAAUGCGUAAAGCAACAGUUUGUACUGGCAUCGGAAUGUGUAUGGUAGCCAAUGAAGAGUCAUAAGUGUUAGAGUUAUAUGUUCAAACUUCUUUUUGCGGGUCACUAGUCUGGCAGCUGUGUUCUGAACACGUUGAAGUUUGGAUAGACUCGAGACAUUCACACCAUACAUCAAAGCAUUACCGUAAUCAAGUCGCGACGUAACAAGAGAGCAUACAAGAGUUUUGCAAGCGUCCUCCGUUAUAUAUGAUCGAAUCCGUCCUAUGGUACGAAUCUAAUGGAAACAGGAUUUGGUAAUUGC
This 710-nucleotide long non-coding RNA is filed under the name Mytilus galloprovincialis (Mediterranean mussel). The record is from RNAcentral. Lineage: Eukaryota; Metazoa; Mollusca; Bivalvia; Mytilida; Mytilidae.